This 76-nucleotide transfer RNA is filed under the name Escherichia coli. RNAcentral's name for it is "tRNA-Asn". It matches the Rfam family "tRNA". From Rfam's summary of the family: Transfer RNA (tRNA) molecules are approximately 80 nucleotides in length. Their secondary structure includes four short double-helical elements and three loops (D, anti-codon, and T loops). RNAcentral also lists the same sequence under 2 other names. The record is from RNAcentral. Lineage: Bacteria; Pseudomonadati; Pseudomonadota; Gammaproteobacteria; Enterobacterales; Enterobacteriaceae.
UCCUCUGUAGUUCAGUCGGUAGAACGGCGGACUGUUAAUCCGUAUGUCACUGGUUCGAGUCCAAUCAGAGGAGCCA